Podarcis lilfordi (Lilford's wall lizard) is the source of this 3007-nucleotide non-coding RNA. The record is from the annotation of a GenBank genome assembly. Lineage: Eukaryota; Metazoa; Chordata; Lepidosauria; Squamata; Lacertidae.
GGAUUCUCUGGCACCUCUCAUUAGGACAGGCAGAACUUGGCAGAAGACCUAGGGACUCCUUCCGAUCUCCUGGGAACAGAGAUGGAUGAGCAAGACUCAGCUGGCCCUGAAGCAGGAAGAGGCCAUGCCAUCCAACAUGGGAGCAGCGGGGGAUUCUGGGAAAACACUGUGAGGAAGAACCUGGGUCAGGAGGACACCCUCUGCUCAGAGGUGCAGAGCCAGCAUUUGAGGCAGUUCUGCUCCCAGGAGGCCAAAGGACCCCGAGAGAUUUGCAGCCAACUCUAGAAGAGGAGGGAGAGUAUCCCCCAAUUCUCUACUAAUUUGCCCAUCCUUUUUUGGAAAGCAUCCAAGGAAUGAUAUUGGACAGCCCUUAAGUGUUUGCAUCUGCUGCUCCUUUUCUAAUCCUUCUCCCCACUCUCUCUUGAAUCCUUGUUGCUCUCUCAGGGGAAGGAUCCGUUAGCAGAAAUGGGUCCAGAUUCCUCUGAGGCAGAGAAGACUCCCUUGGACUCCAGAGAGAGGCCUCUGGGUAAGGAGGAAGGAGUUCUUUCUCUGUUUCGUCACAUUUUGUGGAUUUUGAAACUAAUCUGUGAUUUCUUUUCAUCUUAUUGGAGAAGUCACAGGGGACCAAGAGUCCAGAGAAAGGGAGAUGUAUUUUUGCACAACUAGUAUGUCAAAUGGGUGCAAACGUCCACAUUUACAUGGCAACUCCUCCUUGUUUGAAGGCGCACCUGUAGGCGCACGGGAAUGUUUGUGCACAGGAUUAAAAGAAUGAUUUGAAGAACACCAGUUUCUUAAUGCCCUUCAUUAAAAUACACAAUGAAUACCGGUAAUUCCAUUAACACAUCAAAAUAUGCAUCCAUAAAAUGUGCAGGAAAAAAAUCCAGUUAAUACAGAACAUCAAUUAAGAGGCAGAAAACAACAAAGUGUAACAGUUCACCUUUUUCUUUUAGGGUCCAGUGUGCUUUGAAGAUGUAGCCUUCCAUUUCACAGACGUGGAAUGGGCAUUGCUGGAUCCUGACCACAGAGCCCUCCAUAAGGAAGUCAUGGAGGAGAAUCGGGGGAUUUCGGACUCUCUCAGUAAGGCUUAAUAUUAUGCCUACCCCCCUCCAAGAUGGCCCCCUUUUGCUCUUGAAGGGCUGGCCUGUCUGCAGCCCCCACAGCCUCCCAUCAGGGAACCUUCAUGGGGGCAGAAGCAGAGGAAAGGCCUCAGGAAAGCAGCCAUGGCUCUGGCCAGAUGCACAGGAGGAGCAGCGCUGACCCAAAUUAUGAUUUAUUCCUUCAAUGCCUCCUUCACGUCAUGACUGGUCUAAGUCCUUUCAGGGCGUCCUUGGCAUUAAAAUGAAAGCCUAUCUGGUGCCCGGAGAGCCUGGUGAGGAAAAGGCCCGCCAGGGAGAUGUCCUUGCAGAGCCUCUCCCCCUCUGGGCCUUUCCUGCUCCUUCUGGGGUGUUUGGUUUUUAGCCAAGAGAAAGCUUGCUCUUCUUGUCUCCUCUCCCCCCCCAGUGACUUCACAGCUCUGCUGCAGUCCCUUCCCAGAUACAGAUCCAGUCGGGAUUCAGGCCUCAUCAUGGGACUGAAACUGCCUUGGUCGCGCUGGUUGAUGAUCUCCGGCGGGCUAGGGACAAAGGUGAGAGCUGUGUCCUAGUUCUGCUGGAUCUCUCAGCGGCUUUUGACACCAUCGACCAUAACAUCCUUCUGGACCGUCUUGAGGGGCUGGGAGCUGGGGGCACUGUCAUACAGUGGUUCCGCUCCUUCCUCCUGGGCCGUGUUCAGAAAGUGGUGGUGGGGGGUGAGUGUUCAGACCCCUGGGCUCUCACUUGUGGGGUGCCUCAGGGUUCUGUCCCAUCUGGUACGCAGGAUGAGACCCUAUCGGCCUGCAGAAUGCCUUGCCAGAGUGGUGCAUGCUCUGGUUAUCUCCUGCUUGGACUACUGCAAUGUGCUCUAUGUGGGACUACCUUUGAAGGUGACUCGGAAACUACAACUAAUCCAGAAUGUGGCAGCCAGACUGGUGACUGGGAGCGGCCGCAGAGACCAUAUAACACCCGUCUUGAAAGACCUACACUGGCUCUCAGGACAUUUCCAAGCACAAUUCAAAGUGUUGGUGCUGACCUUGUAAGCCCUAAAUGGCCUCAGCCCAGUGUUCCUGAAGGAGCGUCUCCGCCCCCAUCAUUCUACCCGUACACUGAGGUCCAGCGCCGAGGGCCUUCUGGCUGAGGGCCUUCUCAGUGGUAGAACACCCUCCCAGCAGAUGUCAAAGAGAACAACAACUACCAGACUUUUAGAAGACAUCUGAAGGCAGCCCUGUUUAGGGAAGCUUUAAAUAUUUGAUGUAUUACAGUAUUUUAAUAUUUUUUGGGAAGCCGCCCAGAGUGGCUGGGGAGGCCCAGCCGGAUGGACGGGGUAUAAAUAAUAAAUUAUUAUUAUUAUUACACCCAAAGACACCCCAUGUGGUUUAGCAGACAGACUAAGAGCUCUGGAGCUGGAGGAGGGAGACCUGGGCCCAGUUCCCCCCAUGGCUAGGAGCUUUGGAGGGAGGUGGGGAAGAUGGGGAGUGAGAGGAGCUGGUUCUGGGUGGAAACAUCCACUCUGAGGAAAAGAUCACCAGCUAGAGAAAGGAGUCUCUGAGCUUAGUGGGAAGGACAGUGUGUGGUGUCCUGGGAGAGUAAAUCAGGCCAGGAAUGAACUGGGAGGCUGAGCCAGGAGAAGGAGGAGCUGGAAAGAGACCGGCUGCUGAGCUCUCAUCCCAGUCAGGAGGGGAGAGAUCCUUCUAGAAAGAGAAGACUCCCAAACCAGAGAUCCCUUGGGUCUUUGGCUUGGAGUACCUUGGGAGUAGGGUUGUCCAAGGGGUGUGUAACUGGCAGAAAGUGCCACCUUGUUAAGAACCAAAGUAUUACGUGAGAAACAACUGAGAAAACAUUGAAGGUACUAACAUUGUAAACUGAAAUAUCCUACGUUUUAUCCACUCGUGUCAUAAACUUCCUUGUUAAAUAAAAUCGUUAAUGUUUAUUUG